Molecule: small RNA, 48 nt
Filed under: Hespellia stercorisuis DSM 15480
Lineage: Bacteria; Bacillati; Bacillota; Clostridia; Lachnospirales; Lachnospiraceae
Description: gut-2 RNA
Rfam family: gut-2 RNA
About the family: gut metagenomes.
Source: Rfam by way of RNAcentral
AGCCGUUGAAUAAGUGGAUUCGACGAAGGACUAAGUGGAGUCAGAGUU